RNAcentral lists this ribosomal RNA (473 nucleotides) under Vibrio sp. 1S4'4. RNAcentral describes it as "bacterial SSU rRNA". It matches the Rfam family "Bacterial small subunit ribosomal RNA", at positions 381 to 872 of the family's 1533-position model. The record is from RNAcentral. Lineage: Bacteria; Pseudomonadati; Pseudomonadota; Gammaproteobacteria; Vibrionales; Vibrionaceae.
AGCUGAUGCAGCAUGCCGCGUGUGUGAAGAAGGCUUCGGGUUGUAAAGAGGUGAGGAAGGUAGUGUAGUUAAUAGCUGCAUUAGACGUUAGCGACAGAAGAAGCACCGGCUAACUCCGUGCCAGCAGCCGCGGUAAUACGGAGGGUGCGAUUAAUCGGAAUUACUGGGCGUAAAGCGCAUGCAGGUGGUUUGUUAAGUCAGAUGUGAAAGCCCGGGGCUCAACCUCGGAAUAGCAUUUGAAACUGGCAGACUAGAGUACUGUAGAGGGGGGUAGAAUUUCAGGUGUAGCGGUGAAAUGCGUAGAGAUCUGAAGGAAUACCGGUGGCGAAGGCGGCCCCCUGGACAGAUACUGACACUCAGAUGCGAAAGCGUGGGGAGCAAAAGGAUUAAUACCCUGGUAGUCCACGCCGUAAACGAUGUUACUGUUGUGGCCUUGAGCCGUGGCUUUCGGAGCUAACGCGUAAGUAGACCGC